GACUGUGGCAAACCAGGGCAUAAACUCGCGGAUUGUAGGACGAGGAAGCGUGACCAACAGCAGAGGAGUACACAACGCCAGGGAGGAAGGCGACCGGACGCAUCGCCUCAGGUGGUUUGCUUUAAGUGUCAGGCGGAGGGCCAUAUCGCACCUGACUGCCCGCUACGACGGGACAAAAAGGCCAGUACCAAGAAUGAACGUGUAGUCAACUGCUGCGCGGUGGAGUCCCCAGCUGGUACCCUAAGUCAUCUGGCCACACACGAGGACGUGUGAUAGUCAGGAUGGCCGUGUCGGAGAUGAAAGGACACCGGAACCUUCGGAUAGCCCCGCAACAUUGCAAUCUAAAGUCUACUAUAA
Molecule: long non-coding RNA, 357 nt
Organism: Bombus huntii
Lineage: Eukaryota; Metazoa; Arthropoda; Insecta; Hymenoptera; Apidae
Exons: 2
Source: RefSeq, a predicted model, not a curated record